CUACGGGAGGCUGCAGUGGGGAAUAUUGGACAAUGGGGGAAACCCUGAUCCAGCAAUGCCGCGUGUGUGAAGAAGGCCUGCGGGUUGUAAAGCACUUUCGGUUGGGAGGACUGCUUCUAGCACUAAUAUUGUUGGAAGUUGACGUUACCUUCAGAAGAAGCACCGGCUAACUCCGUGCCAGCAGCCGCGGUAAUACGGAGGGUGCAGGCGUUAAUCGGAAUUACUGGGCGUAAAGCGCGCGUAGGCGGCUAGAUCAGUCGGGUGUGAAAGCCCCGGGCUUAACCUGGGAACUGCAUCCGAUACUGUCAAGCUUGAGUACAGGAGAGGAGAGUGGAAUUCCACAUGUAGCGGUGAAAUGCGUAGAUAUGUGGAGGAACACCAAUGGCGAAGGCAGCUCUCUGGCCUGAUACUGACGCUGAGGUGCGAAAGCGUGGGGAGCAAACAGGAUUAGAUACCCGAGUAGUC
Molecule: ribosomal RNA, 465 nt
Filed under: uncultured bacterium
Lineage: Bacteria
Description: partial 16S ribosomal RNA
Rfam family: Bacterial small subunit ribosomal RNA
Source: RNAcentral